GGAGGCGUGGCCGAGUGGUUGAAGGCACCGGUUUGGAGUACCGGCAUAGGGGAAAUCCUAUCAGAGGUUCGAAUCCUCUCGCCUCCG
This 87-nucleotide transfer RNA is filed under the name Candidatus Yanofskybacteria bacterium RIFCSPHIGHO2_02_FULL_41_11. RNAcentral describes it as "tRNA-Ser". It matches the Rfam family "tRNA". From Rfam's summary of the family: Transfer RNA (tRNA) molecules are approximately 80 nucleotides in length. Lineage: Bacteria; Candidatus Yanofskyibacteriota. The record is from RNAcentral.